AAUGGGUGAGUAACACGUACCUAACCUACCUUUAAGAUUGGGAUAACUACUGGAAACAGUAGCUAAUACCGAAUACGGGUUUCUUUCGCAUGAGAGAAAUUUAAAAGAAGCCUUUAAAGCUUCACUUAAAAAUGGGGGUGCGGAACAUUAGCUAGUUGGUAGGGUAAAGGCCUACCAAGGCGAUGAUGUUUAGCCGGGCCGAGAGGCUGUACGGCCACACUGGGACUGAGAUACGGCCCAGACUCCUACGGGAGGCAGCAGUAGGGAAUUUUCCACAAUGAGCGAAAGCUUGAUGGAGCGACACAGCGUGCAGGAUGAAGGCCUUCGGGUUGUAAACUGCUGUUGCAAGGGAAGAAAAAACAAAGUAGGAAAUGACUUUGCAUUGACGGUACCUUGUUAGAAAGCGAUGGCAAACUAUGUGCCAGCAGCCGCGGUAAUACAUAGGUCGCAAGCGUUAUCCGGAAUUAUUGGGCGUAAAGAGUUCGUAGGUUGUUUGUUAAGUCUGAAGUUAAAUACUGGAGCUCAACUCCAGCCCGCUUUGGAUACUGGCAAGCUGGAAUUACAAAGAGGUUAGCGGAAUUCCUAGUGAAGCGGUGGAAUGCGUAGAUAUUAGGAAGAACACCAAUAGGCGAAGGCAGCUAACUGGUUGUAUAUUGACACUGAGGAACGAAAGCGUGGGGAGCAAACAGGAUUAGAUACCCUGGUAGUCCACGCCGUAAACGAUGAUCAUUAGUUGGUAGAGAAUUUACCGAUGCAGCUAACGCAUUAAAUGAUCCGCCUGAGUAGUAUGCUCGCAAGAGUGAAACUUAAAGGAAUUGACGGGGACCCGCACAAGCGGAGGAGCAUGUGGUUUAAUUUGAAGAUACGCGUAGAACCUUACCCACUCUUGACAUCCCUUGCAAUGCUAUAGAGAUAUAGCGGAGGUUAACAAGGUGACAGAUGGUG
This 945-nucleotide ribosomal RNA is filed under the name Mycoplasma sp. 407. RNAcentral describes it as "bacterial SSU rRNA". It matches the Rfam family "Bacterial small subunit ribosomal RNA", at positions 101 to 1043 of the family's 1533-position model. Lineage: Bacteria; Bacillati; Mycoplasmatota; Mollicutes; Mycoplasmatales; Mycoplasmataceae. The record is from RNAcentral. RNAcentral also lists the same sequence under 3 other names.